AUUGAACGCUGGCGGCAGGCUUAACACAUGCAAGUCGAGCGGAGCGGCGGACGGGUGAGUAAUGCCUAGGAAUCUGCCUGGUAGUGGGGGAUAACGUCCGGAAACGGGCGCUAAUACCGCAUACUAUCAGAUGAGCCUAGGUCGGAUUAGCUAGUUGGUGGGGUAAAGGCCUACCAAGGCGACGAUCCGUAACUGGUCUGAGAGGAUGAUCAGUCACACUGGAACUGAGACACGGUCCAGACUCCUACGGGAGGCAGCAGUGGGGAAUAUUGGACAAUGGGCGAAAGCCUGAUCCAGCCAUGCCGCGUGUGUGAAGAAGGCCUUCGGGUUGUAAAGCACUUUCAGCGAGGAGGCGUUACUCGCAGAAGAAGCACCGGCUAACUCCGUGCCAGCAGCCGCGGUAAUAC
This 407-nucleotide ribosomal RNA is filed under the name uncultured bacterium. RNAcentral describes it as "partial 16S ribosomal RNA". It matches the Rfam family "Bacterial small subunit ribosomal RNA", at positions 30 to 526 of the family's 1533-position model. The record is from RNAcentral.